AUACAAGACAGGACAGAAAUACCCAGAGACAUCAAGGCAUCCCUCCCUCGGCAGGGGCAGCCCUGUGAGAAGCUACCUGUUCAACCAGCCAUGGGAGUGUUGGCCACGAAGGGGAGAGAAAGGCGACAGAGACGUAACCAAAUGCCAGUCCUGCUGGCCCUCCAGAUCAUUUCCUAACAGAUUAACUGUUUUUCAGACAGAAUUCUAAAACCAUUGCCAGCCACCUCCCUGAGUGUCAGUAGGAAGGGAUGGGGAUUUCCUGAUCCCAGGCUCAUAUCUGUACCAGCUGUCACAAACAGCCCACCACAUUGAGUUUCCAGCACCCAAGUUCAACAGGCCACUGUUGUUGGCCUCUGCAACCAGCUCGGGGCCAUCCACAUCAGCACACGUUUGGUCAGCAUCCACCUGGGUGCCGGCCUUUGGCUUUGGUAGGCCGGGAAACUCCUAGACUGGAGGGAAUGCCCAGCUCUUCAAGGACCCUCUGCAUCCACACUUCACUUUAGGUAGCCCCCAGUCUUUCCACUUUGCACUAGCACAUCUAUCAGCCACUUAAGGACUUACUGGUUAAGAUUUAGGGCCACUCCUAAUUACAAAAGGGGGAACAAACGAGGGGGAGUUUCCUCUGACCUGAGGACUAUGCUAACAGCAAUUCAUGGAGCCUUCUGGACACGCUCCAGCCCUCUGAUGAGGCCCCAAGUGGAGGGCACAAGAAGACCAAGUAGAUCACGAGGAGAACCAGAAAGCUGAGAUCUCAAAGGUCAUAUGGAAUCUGGUACACAUAUCCCUCCAUUCCUAACACACAUAUGCGGACACGUAUUCCAAAGAACAGCAUUCCUCUCCAGGGAGUCUGUAUUCCAGUAAAUCACCUAUUUAAAGGCUCGUUUUUAAAAAGGGGGCAAUGAGGAUCCCAGUGAGUAAAAAAAUUAAUGUCUGGGGAAAAAAGCAAACCAGAAUUCCAGUAGAAGGCCUGGUGUCUGACCUAAGAAAACAAGUCGUGAUUUUCUCAGAAAAAAUGAAAACUUCAUCAAGAACCAGGCCCGAGGUUCGACAACAGCCCUUGGAGAGGCGCAGUCAUAAAACCGUAACGGGGCGAGGCACGAGAUUCAAAGGAAAUUAAACAUUUGAAAUCCCUACAAUGAGAGGUGGCCUGGACACACAUCCACACAAAAGAAACUUGAAGGGGCCCAUUAGAGAAAGGGUUAAGUGCACUUCACCUUGAGUUGCAACCGCUUGGCGAGCGCUUUCCAAACCCGGGCUCCUCUGGAGCCGCUGGUGGAGCAGGGGCUUUCCUGGCCCUGCGGUUCAGCUCUGCUUGUCCAUUCUACUGUGCAAUUACAGAAUCAAUAAAGCAUCCCUUUGAAACUCCCUGGACUAGUGC
This 1378-nucleotide long non-coding RNA is filed under the name Vulpes vulpes (red fox). RNAcentral's name for it is "lncRNA (ENSVVUG00000013950.1)". The record is from RNAcentral. Lineage: Eukaryota; Metazoa; Chordata; Mammalia; Carnivora; Canidae.